UACGUAGGGCGCAAGCGUUGUCCGGAAUCAUUGGGCGUAAAGAGCUCGUAGGCGGCCUGUUGCGUCCGCUGUGAAAUCCCGGGGCUUAACCCCGGGCGUGCAGUGGAUACGGGCUGGCUGGAGGCAGGCAGGGGAGAACGGAAUUCCCGGUGUAGCGGUGAAAUGCGCAGAUAUCGGGAGGAACACCGGUGGCGAAGGCGGCACUCUGGGACGGUACUGACGCUGAGACGCGAAAGCGUGGGGAGCGAACAGG
RNAcentral lists this ribosomal RNA (253 nucleotides) under uncultured bacterium. RNAcentral describes it as "partial 16S ribosomal RNA". It matches the Rfam family "Bacterial small subunit ribosomal RNA", at positions 524 to 776 of the family's 1533-position model. The record is from RNAcentral.